AAUGUAACAACAGAUUAUCAUAGCAACACCAACUGGAAAUCAAUAUAAUUAACCCUUUUAGUGUCUCAGCAGACAACACCUGGAGCUGUCCUUGUCUUUGAUAGGUAUAUGUUUACUGUCCAACCACCUUACUCCAAUAUCCACAUUUUAAGUGCUUUCCUUGUCUUUUACCGUUAAAUCAUGGACACUUUACACCAGCUCAGUACAAUCUUUUUUUAAUGUCUUUUUUGUAAAUAAUGUCUCAGGUUUCAGGAUGAUCAGUAAAAACGUGAUAUAAUCC
Pelobates cultripes (western spadefoot toad) is the source of this 280-nucleotide non-coding RNA. Lineage: Eukaryota; Metazoa; Chordata; Amphibia; Anura; Pelobatidae. The record is from the annotation of a GenBank genome assembly.